UACGUAGGUGGCGAGCGUUGUCCGGAUUUAUUGGGUUUAAAGGGUGCGUAGGCGGCUUAUUAAGUCAGUGGUGAAAUAUCGCAGCUUAACUGUGAGGGUGCCAAUGAUACUGAUGAGCUUGAGUGAAGUCGAGGUAGGCGGAAUUGACGGUGUAGCGGUGAAAUGCUUAGAUAUCGUCAAGAACACCAAUAGUGAAGACAGCUUACUAGGCUUGAACUGACGCUGAGGCACGAAAGUGUGGGGAUCAAACAGG
Molecule: ribosomal RNA, 253 nt
Filed under: uncultured bacterium
Lineage: Bacteria
Description: partial 16S ribosomal RNA
Rfam family: Bacterial small subunit ribosomal RNA
Source: RNAcentral